Molecule: ribosomal RNA, 329 nt
Filed under: uncultured eukaryote
Lineage: Eukaryota
Description: partial 18S ribosomal RNA
Rfam family: Eukaryotic small subunit ribosomal RNA
Source: RNAcentral
CCCUUAGAUGUUCUGGGCCGCACGCGCGCUACACUGACGAUGGCAACGAGUUUUUCCUUCGCCGAAAGGUGUGGGUAAUCUUUUGAAACAUCGUCGUGCUGGGGAUAGAUCAUUGCAAUUUUUGAUCUUGAACGAGGAAUUCCUAGUAAGCGCGAGUCAUCAGCUCGCGUUGAUUACGUCCCUGCCCUUUGUACACACCGUCCGUCGCUACUACCGAUUGAAUGGUUUAGUGAGGACUCCUGAUUGGCGCCGCCGCCCCGGCAACGGAGCAGCGGACUGCCGAGAAGUUGUUCAAACUUGAUCAUUUAGAGGAAGUAAAAGUCGUAACA